UGGGAAUUUGGACAAUGGGCGAAAGCCUGAUCCAGCAAUGCCGCGUGUGUGAAGAAGGCCUUCGGGUUGUAAAGCACUUUUGCCCGGAAAGAAAUCCUUGGCUCUAAUACAGUCGGGGGAUGACGGUACCGGAAGAAUAAGCACCGGCUAACUACGUGCCAGCAGCCGCGGUAAUACGUAGGGUGCAAGCGUUAAUCGGAAUUACUGGGCGUAAAGCGUGCGCAGGCGGUUUGCUAAGACCGAUGUGAAAUCCCCGGGCUCAACCUGGGAACUGCAUUGGUGACUGGCAGGCUAGAGUAUGGCAGAGGGGGGUAGAAUUCCACGUGUAGCAGUGAAAUGCGUAGAGAUGUGGAGGAAUACCGAUGGCGAAGGCAGCCCCCUGGGCCAAUACUGACGCUCAUGCACGAAAGCGUGGGGAGCAAACAGGAUUAGAUACCCUGGUAGUCCACGCCCUAAACGAUGUCAACUAGUUGUUGGGGAUUCAUUUCCUUAGUAACGUAGCUAACGCGUGAAGUUGACCGCCUGGGGAGUACGGUCGCAAGAUUAAAACUCAAAGGAAUUGACGGGGUCAUAGCUGUUUCCU
Molecule: ribosomal RNA, 583 nt
Filed under: uncultured bacterium
Lineage: Bacteria
Description: partial 16S ribosomal RNA
Rfam family: Bacterial small subunit ribosomal RNA
Source: RNAcentral